AAAGAGUAAGACUCUGUCUCAAAAAAACAAACAAACAAAAGUAAUAGAAUGGGGAAAAAGAGAUGCCACUGUUUUGUCUACCAUUUUCCUUAAAAAGUAGCUGAGAAGCAGCUGAUAUAGCCCCAAAAUGACCAUUGUCACACUAGAGCAACAAGAUUAGGGAACUGUAAGAUACUAGUAAUAGUUCAGAGAAAUAAACUGUUUUUGUAAUUUACAACUUACAAAAACUUUGAUAUGUAUUGUCUCACUUGAAUUCAACUCACCCAGAGGUGAGGAGAGCAAAUACCCCCAACCUCUUGCUAAAGCAUCAGAAGUGAGUCACCUGUCUGUUGGUCAGAGCCAGGCCUGACACCCAGAGCUUCUUCUCCAAAUCCUAGAUUUUAAUAAUUAGCAUGGUUUACUUAUGCCUUAGACCCUCAUUAUGGAGUGCUGAAUGCAUACUGUAGACAGAUAGCAGAGGGUGCCAGUGAGGUGAGAUGGGGCAGCAGCAUGCAGAGGUGGCUGCACACUGGGCCGAGUGUCAGGAGAUGAGGCCCACCUCUGUGUGGUCACCCAUUGCAUAUGUGGAAAGGUCAACACAACACUUGUGACUUCAGCCUUCAAUUUCCUCUGCUGUGAGACCACCAAGCCUCUUUCAGGUUCUUCUAUUCCUGCCCAUCCUGUUAAGGUGCAAAAGCCUAGCAAUGCGAGAAUUAUGAGCCACUUUGAAGGUACCAAAAUACCAACCUGAAACAACUCACAAUGGCUGCGAAGAAUGGAAAAAACAUUUGCCAGGACCAGUGCUACCCGGCCUUCCUGCACUCCAUUGGAGAACAGGAGUGGUACAGAGCCACUGCGAUGCUGAGUCCACAGUGGCAACAGACACCAACUGGCAUCUCCAUGAAAAGUCACAACUGACCGCCUGGCUGCCAAGAUCUUUGGUACAUUACCCCCUUUUCCCCUACCGGUCUCAUUAAAGCCCCAUUCACCCCUAAGAGUGAUUUUGACAUCUGGGAAAGUA
This 1000-nucleotide long non-coding RNA is filed under the name Homo sapiens (human). RNAcentral describes it as "HSALNT0356589". Lineage: Eukaryota; Metazoa; Chordata; Mammalia; Primates; Hominidae. The record is from RNAcentral.